RNAcentral lists this ribosomal RNA (490 nucleotides) under uncultured bacterium. Its description in RNAcentral is "partial 16S ribosomal RNA". It matches the Rfam family "Bacterial small subunit ribosomal RNA", at positions 30 to 507 of the family's 1533-position model. The record is from RNAcentral.
AUUGAACGCUGGCGGCAGGCCUAACACAUGCAAGUCGAACGGUAACAGAAAGCAGCUUGCUGCUUUUCUGACGAGUGGCGGACGGGUGAGUAAUGUCUGAGAAACUGCCUGAUGGAGGGGGAUAACUACUGGAAACGGUAGCUAAUACCGCAUAACGUCGCAAGCCCAAAGAGGGGGACCUUCGGGCCUCUUGCCAUCGGAUGUGCCCAGAUGGGAUUAGAUAGUAGGUGGGGUAAAGUCUCACCUAGGCGACGAUCCAUAGAUGGUCUGAGAGGAUGAUAAGCCACACUGGAAGUGAGACACGGUCAAGAAGCCUAAGGGAGGCAGCAGUGGGGAAUAUUGCACAAUGGGCGCAAGCCUGAUGCAGUCAUGCCGCGUGUAUGAAGAAGGCCUUCGGGUUGUAAAGUACGUUCAGCGGGGAGGAAGGGAGUAAAGUUAAUACCUUUGCUCAUUGACGUUACCCGCAGAAGAAGCACCGGCUAACUACGUG